AACAAUUCUUAGCUUGGUUUUGAGCAACGCAGAAAACAAAUUUACAGAUAAGAAGUAUUCACCAACACUAACUAGUCUGCUGCAAACCUAGGCUACCACUUCACAUCCUCUGCUGCUGGAAUUUCCUACAGCAACAGCCCUUUUUGCCCUCAUCCAAAAUCUGAGACCAACUCUUCUGCCACAAAAGCUGUCCAGUGUGACUGUUCCAGCAGACGUAUUUGCAGACUUUAAUUUUCUUGUUCUGGCAUUGAAUUACUCCCUGCUUGAUCCUUUCCUCCUCAAACUUACAAAAAAUAAGACUGGACUUAGAGGACUUCAAGAACAUUUCCUAAUAUGACUUUUUCAGGACGAGAUCAC
RNAcentral lists this long non-coding RNA (357 nucleotides) under Pavo cristatus (Indian peafowl). RNAcentral's name for it is "lncRNA (ENSPSTG00000001893.1)". Lineage: Eukaryota; Metazoa; Chordata; Aves; Galliformes; Phasianidae. The record is from RNAcentral.